RNAcentral lists this ribosomal RNA (434 nucleotides) under uncultured bacterium. Its description in RNAcentral is "partial 16S ribosomal RNA". It matches the Rfam family "Bacterial small subunit ribosomal RNA", at positions 29 to 507 of the family's 1533-position model. The record is from RNAcentral.
AGCGAACGCUGGCGGCAGGCCUAACACAUGCGAGUCGAACGAGCCUUUCGGGGCCAGUGGCGGACGUGUGAGUAACACGCGGUAACGUGCCUUUAGGUCCGCAAUAACUCAGCGAAACUUGCUCUAAUACCGAGUGUGCCCUUCGGGGGCAAGAUUCAUCGCCGUUAGAGCGGCCCGCGGCGGAUUAGCUAGUUGGUUGCGGUAAUGGCUCACCAAGGCGACGAUCAGUAGCUGGUCUGAGAGGAUGCUCAGCCACAUUGGGACUGAGACACGGGCCGAACUGCUGCGGGAGGCCGCCGUGGGGAAUCUUGCGCAAUGAACGAAAGCCGGACGCCGCCACGCCGCGUGAAUGAAGAAGGACUUAGGAUUGUGGAAUUCUUUCGACGGUGACGAUAAUGACGGUACCCGGGGAAGAAGCCCCGGCUAAUUUCGUG